Molecule: unclassified non-coding RNA, 345 nt
Filed under: soil metagenome
Description: partial contains 5.8S ribosomal RNA, internal transcribed spacer 2, and large subunit ribosomal RNA
Rfam family: 5.8S ribosomal RNA (bases 1-119)
Source: RNAcentral
GAUGAAGAACGUAGCGAAAUGCGAUACGUAAUGUGAAUUGCAAAUUCAGUGAAUCAUCGAGUCUUUGAACGCACAUUGCGCCCCCUGGUAUUCCGGGGGGCAUGCCUGUCCGAGCGUCAUUGCUGCCCUCAAGCACGGCUUGUGUGUUGGGCCCCGUCCUCCGAUCCCGGGGGACGGGCCCGAAAGGCAGCGGCGGCACCGCGUCCGGUCCUCGAGCGUAUGGGGCUUUGUCACCCGCUCUGUAGGCCCGGCCGGCGCUUGCCGAUCAACCCAAAUUUUUGUCCAGGUUGACCUCGGAUCAGGUAGGGAUACCCGCUGAACUUAAGCAUAUCAAUAAGCGGAGGA